This 760-nucleotide ribosomal RNA is filed under the name uncultured Neisseriaceae bacterium. RNAcentral describes it as "bacterial SSU rRNA". It matches the Rfam family "Bacterial small subunit ribosomal RNA", at positions 28 to 776 of the family's 1533-position model. The record is from RNAcentral. Lineage: Bacteria; Pseudomonadati; Pseudomonadota; Betaproteobacteria; Neisseriales; Neisseriaceae.
AUUGAACGCUGGCGGCAUGCUUUACACAUGCAAGUCGGACGGCAGCAUAAAAGAGCUUGCUCUUUUGAUGGCGAGUGGCGAACGGGUGAGUAAUGCAUCGGAACGUACCGAGUAGUGGGGGAUAACUGUCCGAAAGGAUGGCUAAUACCGCAUAUUCUCUGAGGAGGAAAGCAGGGGACCUUAGGGCCUUGCGCUAUUUGAGCGGCCGAUGUCUGAUUAGCUAGUUGGUGGGGUAAGAGCCCACCAAGGCGACGAUCAGUAGCGGGUCUGAGAGGAUGAUCCGCCACACUGGGACUGAGACACGGCCCAGACUCCUACGGGAGGCAGCAGUGGGGAAUUUUGGACAAUGGGCGCAAGCCUGAUCCAGCCAUGCCGCGUGUAUGAAGAAGGCCUUCGGGUUGUAAAGUACUUUUGUCAGGGAAGAAAAGCCUGAGGAUAACACCCUCAGGUCAUGACGGUACCUGAAGAAUAAGCACCGGCUAACUACGUGCCAGCAGCCGCGGUAAUACGUAGGGUGCGAGCGUUAAUCGGAAUUACUGGGCGUAGAGCGAGCGCAGACGGUUAUUUAAGCAAGACGUGAAAGCCCCGGGCUCAACCUGGGAACUGCGUUUUGAACUGGGUAACUAGAGUGUGUCAGAGGGGGGUAGAAUUCCACGUGUAGCAGUGAAAUGCGUAGAGAUGUGGAGGAAUACCGAUGGCGAAAGGCAGCCCCCUGGGAUAACACUGACGUUCAUGCUCGAAAGCGUGGGUAGCAAACAGG